This 107-nucleotide ribosomal RNA is filed under the name Candidatus Nomurabacteria bacterium RIFCSPLOWO2_01_FULL_36_10b. Lineage: Bacteria; Candidatus Nomuraibacteriota. The record is from RNAcentral.
UCUGGUGGCACAGCGAUGGGGAAACACCUGGUCCCAUUCCGCACCCAGAAGUUAAGCCCGUUUGCGCCGAUGAUACUCUUUAUGGGGAAAGUAGGUCGCCGCCAGUU